CAUAACCUCUUCGAAACUGGGUAUAAUACCCGAUAGGUCUCGAUUGCUGGAAUGCAUCGAGAUUUAAAGCUCCGGCGCCUAAGGAUGGGUCUGCGGCCUAUCAGGUAGUAGUGGGUGUAGCGUACCUACUGGCCUACGACGGGUACGGGUUGUGAGAGCAAGAGCCCGGAGAUGGAUUCUGAGACACGAAUCCAGGCCCUACGGGGUGCAGCAGGCGCGAAAACUUUACAAUGCUGGCAACAGCGAUAAGGGAACCUCGAGUGCCAGGUUACAAAUCUGACUGUCGAGAUGCCUAAAAAGCAUCUCAUAGCAAGGGCCGGGCAAGACCGGUGCCAGCCGCCGCGGUAACACCGGCGGCUCGAGUGGUAACCGUUAUUAUUGGGUCUAAAGGGUCUGUAGCCGGCCGGAUAAGUCUCUUGAGAAAUCUGGCAGCUUAACUGUCAGGCUUUCAGGAGAUACUGUCUGGCUCGAGGCCGGGAGAGGUGAGAGGUACUUCAGGGGUAGGGGUGAAAUCUUGUAAUCCUUGAAGGACCACCAGUGGCGAAGGCGUCUCACCACAACGGACCUGACGGCGAGGGACGAAAGCUACGGGCACGAACCGGAUUAUAUACCCGGGUAGUCCUAGCCGUAAACGAUACUCGCUAGGUGUCGGCCACGGUGCGACCGCUGUCGGUGCCGCCCGGGAAGCCGUGAAGCGAGCCACCUGGGAAGUACUGCCGCAAGGCUGAAACUUAUAGGAAGUGUCGGGGGAGUACCACAACGGGUGGAGCUUGCGGUUUAAUAGGAUUCAACGCCGGAGAUCAUAUCGGGACCGACAGCAAUAUGAUGGCCAGGCUGAAGACUUUGCCGGAUUAGCUGAUAAGUAGAUGCAU
Molecule: ribosomal RNA, 872 nt
Filed under: uncultured archaeon
Lineage: Archaea
Description: bacterial SSU rRNA
Rfam family: Archaeal small subunit ribosomal RNA
Source: RNAcentral